This 505-nucleotide ribosomal RNA is filed under the name uncultured bacterium. RNAcentral's name for it is "partial 16S ribosomal RNA". It matches the Rfam family "Bacterial small subunit ribosomal RNA", at positions 28 to 507 of the family's 1533-position model. The record is from RNAcentral.
GACGAACGCUGGCGGCGUGCCUAAUACAUGCAAGUAGAACGCACAGUUUAUACCGUAGCUUGCUACACCAUAGACUGUGAGUUGCGAACGGGUGAGUAACGCGUAGGUAACCUGCCUGGCAGCGGGGGAUAACUACUGGUAACGAUAGCUAAUACCGCAUAAUAUUAAUUAUUGCAUGAUAAUUAAUUGAAAGGAGCAAUUGCACCACUACCAGAUGGACCUGCGUUGUAUUAGCUAGUAGGGGGGGUAACGGCUCACCUAGGCGACGAUACAUAGCCGACCUGGGAGGGUGGUCGGCCACCCUGGGACUGGGACACGGCCCAGACUCCUACGGGAGGCAGCAGUAGGGAAUCUUCGGCAAUGGACGAAAGUCUGACCGCGCAACGCCGCGUGAGUGAAGGAGGUUUUCGGAUCGUAAAGCUCUGUUGUAAGGGAAGAACGGGUGUUAGAGUGGAACGUUCACACUGUGACGGUAUCUUACCAGAAAGGGACGGCUAACUACGUG